CUUGCGCGCACUCGAGGGUGGUCUCGGAAGGUCGGGAGAGGGCCCGAGGCGGCCCGGCCACGCGCGUGCAUUGACGGUGAUGGCGGCGGUGGUGCUCCGGCGGUCUCGGCGGCGGACAGAGACGGCGAGUGCGAGCACGAGGUAUAGAAGAUAGAGGCGGAGCUCAUGGUGGUGCUCGUGGGAAGUAUGGGGGCUCGGAACAACGGGAACGCCCGCAGCUCCGACGAGCUCCGAGCUCGCCCAUGGUGGCCAUGGAGGAACACAGAGAGAGUGAGAAAGG
RNAcentral lists this long non-coding RNA (280 nucleotides) under Sorghum bicolor (sorghum). RNAcentral describes it as "long non-coding RNA (SBIC_LNC014484)". The record is from RNAcentral. Lineage: Eukaryota; Viridiplantae; Streptophyta; Magnoliopsida; Poales; Poaceae.